CCUGUGCUCUUCCUUCAGACUUCUCCUGUUCUCUAAUGUUAUCAUCAGCCCUUUUUCCAGAUACUUGCUCCCCUUGGACAACAGGGGCACUUCCUGUAGCUCCCAUUUGUUCCACCUCUAGAUUUUCAAGUAAACUUACCUUAUCACUUUUUUCUUCUACUUUUUGAUCAAUUGACCUGGCCUCUAUGCCAACCCAGUCGGUAGCAUUCCCGUCUCCUAACUGUGUUACAGUUUCUUCAACAUUUUGAUCAGUUUCCUUUAGCCCUUCCUCUACACCUCCAUGGACAUCUUCUGCACUUUGCUUGUAAUUGUCCACUCCUUUAUCA
Molecule: unclassified non-coding RNA, 326 nt
Filed under: Hevea brasiliensis (rubber tree)
Lineage: Eukaryota; Viridiplantae; Streptophyta; Magnoliopsida; Malpighiales; Euphorbiaceae
Source: RNAcentral